GUUGCCGGUCAAAGAGGAGUGGCAAGACCCGAUCCCAUUUCGAACUCGGUAGUGAAUCGCUCCAUCGAUUUCAAUUGUACUGUCGAAAAGACGGGAACCUGAAGACGCUGGCGACC
This 116-nucleotide ribosomal RNA is filed under the name Nanobdellota archaeon. Lineage: Archaea; Nanobdellati; Nanobdellota. The record is from RNAcentral.